Molecule: ribosomal RNA, 440 nt
Filed under: uncultured bacterium
Lineage: Bacteria
Description: partial 16S ribosomal RNA
Rfam family: Bacterial small subunit ribosomal RNA
Source: RNAcentral
CCUACGGGUGGCUGCAGUGGGGGAUAUUGCACAAUGGGGGGAACCCUGAUGCAGCGCCGCCGCGGGGGUGAAGAAGCGCCUCGGCGCGUAAAGCCCUAUCAGCCGGGAAGAAAAUGACGGUACCUGAAUAAGAAGCCCCGGCUAACUACGUGCCAGCAGCCGCGGUAAUACUUAGGGGGCAAGCGUUAUCCGGAUUUACUGGGUGUAAAGGGGGCGCAGACGGCGAUGCAAGCCUGGAGUGAAAGGCCGGAGCCCAACCGCGGGACUGCUCUGGGAACUGGGGGGCUGGAGUGCAGGAGGGGCAGGCGGAAUUCCUGGUGUAGCGGUGAAAUGCGUAGAUAUCAGGAGGAACACCGGUGGCGAAGGCGGCUUGCUGGACUGCAACUGACGUUGAGGCCCGAAAGCGUGGGGAGCAAACAGGAUUAGAUACCCUUGUAGUC